AACGAACGCUGGCGGCAUGCCUAACACAUGCAAGUCGAACGAGACCUUCGGGUCUAGUGGCGCACGGGUGCGUAACGCGUGGGAACCUGCCCUUAGGUUCGGAAUAACUCCCCGAAAGGGGUGCCAAUACCGGAUAAUGUCUUCGGACCAAAGAUUUAUCGCCUUUGGAUGGGCCCGCGUUGGAUUAGCUAGUUGGUAGGGUAAAAGCCUACCAAGGCGACGAUCCAUAGCUGGUCUGAGAGGAUGAUCAGCCACACUGGGACUGAGACACGGCCCAGACUCCUACGGGAGGCAGCAGUGGGGAAUAUUGGACAAUGGGCGAAAGCCUGAUCCAGCAAUGCCGCGUGAGUGAUGAAGGCCUUAGGGUUGUAAAGCUCUUUUACCCGGGAUGAUAAUGACAGUACCGGGAGAAGAAGCUCCGGCUAACUCCGU
RNAcentral lists this ribosomal RNA (432 nucleotides) under uncultured bacterium. RNAcentral's name for it is "partial 16S ribosomal RNA". It matches the Rfam family "Bacterial small subunit ribosomal RNA", at positions 29 to 506 of the family's 1533-position model. The record is from RNAcentral.